CAGUAGCCACGGGAAUACGUAGGGUGCAAGCGUUGUCCGUAAUUAUUGGGCGUAAAGCGCGCGCAGGUGGUUUAAUAAGUCUGAUGUGAAAGCCCACGGCUCAACCGUGGAGGGUCAUUGGAAACUGUUAAACUUGAGUGCAGGAGAGAAAAGUGGAAUUCCUAGUGUAGCGGUGAAAUGCGUAGAGAUUAGGAGGAACACCAGUGGCGAAGGCGGCCUUUUGGCCUGUAACUGACACUGAGGCGCGAAAGCGUGGGGAGCAAACAGGAUUAGAUACCCCGGUAGUCCCUGUCUCUUAUAC
RNAcentral lists this ribosomal RNA (301 nucleotides) under uncultured bacterium. RNAcentral's name for it is "partial 16S ribosomal RNA". It matches the Rfam family "Bacterial small subunit ribosomal RNA", at positions 509 to 807 of the family's 1533-position model. The record is from RNAcentral.